Molecule: ribosomal RNA, 565 nt
Filed under: uncultured archaeon
Lineage: Archaea
Description: bacterial SSU rRNA
Rfam family: Archaeal small subunit ribosomal RNA
Source: RNAcentral
GCGAAUCGCCCUUCGGGGUGCCCAGGCGCGAAAACUUUACAAUGCCGGCAACGGCGAUAAGGGAACCUCGAGUGCCAGGUUACAAAUCUGGCUGUCGUGAUGCCUAAAAAGCAUUGCAUAGCAAGGGCCGGGCAAGACCGGUGCCAGCCGCCGCGGUAACACCGGCGGCUCGAGUGGUAACCGUUAUUAUUGGGUCUAAAGGGUCUGUAGCCGGCCGGAUAAGUCUCUUGGGAAAUCUGGCAGCUUAACUGUCAGGCUUUCAGGAGAUACUGUCUGGCUCGAGGCCGGGAGAGGUGAGAGGUACUUCAGGGGUAGGGGUGAAAUCUUGUAAUCCUUGAAGGACCACCAGUGGCGAAGGCGUCUCACCAGAACGGACCUGACGGCAAGGGACGAAAGCUAGGGGCACGAACCGGAUUAGAUACCCGGGUAGUCCUAGCCGUAAACGAUACUCGCUAGGUGUCGGCCACGGUGCGACCGUGGUCGGUGCCGUAGGGAAGCCGUGAAGCGAGCCACCUGGGAAGUACGGCCGCAAGGCUGAAACUUAAAGGAAUUGGCGGGGGAGCAC